CCGGCGGCCAGGGCCUUGGGGCUUCCGCUCCUCCUGGGAGCGGUCAGCCGCCGGGGUUCCGGGCCCCGUCGGUGGGC
RNAcentral lists this transfer RNA (77 nucleotides) under Streptomyces spongiicola. Its description in RNAcentral is "tRNA-Arg". The record is from RNAcentral. Lineage: Bacteria; Bacillati; Actinomycetota; Actinomycetes; Kitasatosporales; Streptomycetaceae.